UUGACAUAGGUGAAGGAACAUCAAAGGGAAAGGAGAUAGCUAGAGAUUAGAAGAGGAAAAGAAAAGAAGAAUUCAAGAAAGGUUUGGUGUUUUAAUGAUUUUCUGUUUUCCUUUGAUUCUGCCAUGAAUAAGUGAAAUUAGGGGUUGAUUUUACUUGCUGGAAAUGUUGCUUUGAUUGUAUAAAUAUGUUAUAUGAAUGUUAAAAUGAUGUUUGAAAGGUUUAGAGUAAAGAAAUUUAACAUGGGAGCUAAAAGUGUAAAUCUGGCAGAAUAGGUUGUAACAGGACAGCUUGUAGUACUAACUUCAUAACUUAUUGUGUCUCUAUUGAAAUUAGGCCUAAGAUAUACCAAAUGAAAGCUAAGACAAAUAUCUAAAAUUUUCAUGAAUUGACCAAAUUCGGAAUCUAUAGGUAAGAUGAUGAAAAUGGCAAGUGAACUUAAACUGGAUACAGUGGUAGUACAUCCGGAACAGAGUUUAUUGAGUAUACCAUAACUAAUUAUGUACUCAGUGAAAUUUGUUAAUACCAGUGCCAAAUGAAUCUUAAGAAGUAUACCUAAAACUUUUUAGAAGACACUUAAGCUUGAAUUUGUAUGGAAAUGCAUGAAUCUGAUAAGUUUUGUGAUACUAUAAACAAGUACCAAUACUGGACUGAUUAAGACCUUAUUGAGCAGCUUGUAAAGAAAAAUUCAUAACUUAAGCUAGGAUGAUCAGAUUUUUAUGAACCAUACCUUGUUGGAAAUAUAAGACAUAAAUGUACAUUUCUUAUGAAGAAACUGAAGUCAAAUUGUAACUCUAAUCUGCUUGAAAAGUUUAUGCAAUAUAUGGCAGAAUGUAGUUUUCUAUAUUGAAAUGCUAAGUCAAUAAAGUUUUGCACUAUUUGCCAUGAGUUUUCCAUAUUGUAAACCUUGGCAU
RNAcentral lists this long non-coding RNA (912 nucleotides) under Manihot esculenta (cassava). RNAcentral describes it as "long non-coding RNA (MESC_LNC006136)". Lineage: Eukaryota; Viridiplantae; Streptophyta; Magnoliopsida; Malpighiales; Euphorbiaceae. The record is from RNAcentral.